RNAcentral lists this ribosomal RNA (350 nucleotides) under uncultured Mycobacterium sp. Its description in RNAcentral is "bacterial SSU rRNA". It matches the Rfam family "Bacterial small subunit ribosomal RNA", at positions 997 to 1349 of the family's 1533-position model. Lineage: Bacteria; Bacillati; Actinomycetota; Actinomycetes; Mycobacteriales; Mycobacteriaceae. The record is from RNAcentral.
ACGGCAGAGAUGUCGUUUCCCUUGUGGCCUGUGUGCAGGUGGUGCAUGGCUGUCGUCAGCUCGUGUCGUGAGAUGUUGGGUUAAGUCCCGCAACGAGCGCAACCCUUGUCUCAUGUUGCCAGCGCGUUAUGGCGGGGACUCGUGAGAGACUGCCGGGGUCAACUCGGAGGAAGGUGGGGAUGACGUCAAGUCAUCAUGCCCCUUAUGUCCAGGGCUUCACACAUGCUACAAUGGCCGGUACAAAGGGCUGCGAUGCCGCGAGGCUUAGCGAAUCCUUUAAAGCCGGUCUCAGUUCGGAUCGGGGUCUGCAACUCGACCCCGUGAAGUCGGAGUCGCUAGUAAUCGCAGAU